GAUGAAGAACGCAGCGAAAUGCGAUAAGUAAUGUGAAUUGCAGAAUUCAGUGAAUCAUCGAAUCUUUGAACGCACAUUGCGCCCCUUGGUAUUCCGAGGGGCAUGCCUGUUCGAGCGUCAUUAUAACCCCUCAAGCUCAGCUUGGUGUUGGGGCCUGCUGCACUGGCAGCCCUUAAAAUCAGUGGCGGCGCCAUCUGGCUCUAAGCGUAGUAAUUCUUCUCGCUAUGGAGUCCUGGUGGAUGCUUGCCAUCAACCCCCAAUUUUUCUAUGGUUGACCCCGGAUCAGGUAGGGAUACCCGCUGAACUUAAGCAUAUCAAUAAGCGGAGGA
RNAcentral lists this unclassified non-coding RNA (329 nucleotides) under soil metagenome. RNAcentral describes it as "partial contains 5.8S ribosomal RNA, internal transcribed spacer 2, and large subunit ribosomal RNA". The stretch from base 1 to 120 matches the Rfam family "5.8S ribosomal RNA", at positions 35 to 154 of the family's 154-position model. The record is from RNAcentral.